GAGUUUGAUCCUGGCUCAGAUUGAACGCUGGCGGCAUGCCUUACACAUGCAAGUCGAACGGCAGCACGGGUGCUUGCACCUGGUGGCGAGUGGCGAACGGGUGAGUAAUACAUCGGAACAUGUCCUGUAGUGGGGGAUAGCCCGGCGAAAGCCGGAUUAAUACCGCAUACGAUCUACGGAUGAAAGCGGGGGACCUUCGGGCCUCGCGCUAUAGGGUUGGCCGAUGGCUGAUUAGCUAGUUGGUGGGGUAAAGGCCUACCAAGGCGACGAUCAGUAGCUGGUCUGUGAGGACGACCAGCCACACUGGGACUGAGACACGGCCCAGACUCCUACGGGAGGCAGCAGUGGGGAAUUUUGGACAAUGGGCGAAAGCCUGAUCCAGCAAUGCCGCGUGUGUGAAGAAGGCCUUCGGGUUGUAAAGCACUUUUGUCCGGAAAGAAAUCCUUGGCUCUAAUACAGUCGGGGGAUGACGGUACCGGAAGAAUAAGCACCGGCUAACUACGUGCCAGCAGCCGCGGUAAUACGUAGGGUGCGAGCGUUAAUCGGAAUUACUGGGCGUAAAGCGUGCGCAGGCGGUUUGCUAAGACCGAUGUGAAAUCCCCGGGCUCAACCUGGGAACUGCAUUGGUGACUGGCAGGCUAGAGUAUGGCAGAGGGGGGUAGAAUUCCACGUGUAGCAGUGAAAUGCGUAGAGAUGUGGAGGAAUACCGAUGGCGAANGCAGCCCCCUGGGCCAAUACUGACGCUCAUGCACGAAAAGCGCGGGAAGCAACAGGAUUAGAUACCCUGGUAGUCCACGCCCUAAACGAUNGUCACUAGUUGUUGGGGAUUUCAUUUCCUUAGUAACGUAGCUACGCGUGAAGUUGACCGCCUGGGGAGUACGGUCGCAAGAUUAAACUCAAAGGAAUUGACGGGGACCCGCACAAGCGGUGGAUGAUGUGGAUUAAUUCGAUGCAACGCGAAAAACCUUACCUACCCUUGACAUGGUCGGAAUCCUGCUGAGAGGCGGGAGUGCUCGAAAGAGAACCGGCGCACAGGUGCUGCAUGGCUGUCGUCAGCUCGUGUCGUGAGAUGUUGGGUUAAGUCCCGCAACGAGCGCAACCCUUGUCCUUAGUUGAUACGCAAGAGCACUCUAAGGAGACUGCCGGUGACAAACCGGAGGAAGGUGGGGAUGACGUCAAGUCCUCAUGGCCCUUAUGGGUAGGGCUUCACACGUCAUACAAUGGUCGGAACAGAGGGUUGCCAACCCGCGAGGGGGAGCUAAUCCCAGAAAACCGAUCGUAGUCCGGAUUGCACUCUGCAACUCGAGUGCAUGAAGCUGGAAUCGCUAGUAAUCGCGGAUCAGCAUGCCGCGGUGAAUACGUCCCCGGGUCUUGUACACACCGCCCGUCACACCAUGGGAGUGGGUUUUACCAGAAGUGGCUAGUCUAACCGCAAGGAGGACGGUCACCACGGUAGGAUUCAUGACUGGGGUGAAGUCGUAACAAGGUA
RNAcentral lists this ribosomal RNA (1489 nucleotides) under uncultured beta proteobacterium. RNAcentral's name for it is "16S ribosomal RNA". It matches the Rfam family "Bacterial small subunit ribosomal RNA". The record is from RNAcentral. Lineage: Bacteria; Pseudomonadati; Pseudomonadota; Betaproteobacteria.